This 253-nucleotide ribosomal RNA is filed under the name uncultured bacterium. RNAcentral describes it as "partial 16S ribosomal RNA". It matches the Rfam family "Bacterial small subunit ribosomal RNA", at positions 524 to 776 of the family's 1533-position model. The record is from RNAcentral.
UACAGAGGGGGCAAGCGUUGUUCGGAAUUACUGGGCGUAAAGGGCGCGUAGGCGGCCCUCUAAGUCGAACGUGAAAUCCCCGGGCUCAACCCGGGAACUGCGUCCGAUACUGGAGGGCUCGAAUCCGGGAGAGGGAUGUGGAAUUCCAGGUGUAGCGGUGAAAUGCGUAGAUAUCAAGAGGAACACCUGAGGUGAAGACGGGUUGCUGGGCCGACACUGACGCUGAGGCGCGAAAGCCAGGGGAGCAAACGGG